CCAACACGAUCUCCACAGCCUCACCAGGACACGUAAUACAGCGCCACUUGCAAAGCGCCCUGUGCCCCUUGUAUACUUUCUCACAUUGUAUUCCCAUCAUGACCCUAGGAGGUAGGUUAUGUUAGUGUCACACUCAUCUUGCAGAUAAGAAAACAGAAGCACGGGGAAGUUAUGUAACCGGCUCAAGGUCAGCCAGCGUGGCAGAGCUGGAAGCGACUGUCACAGUGACUGGUGGGCAACUUGAUUUGCACGGUGCUGCCAGGUUCGUGGCCAUCAGCCUCUGCUGGGUCUGCCUUCCUCCUCCUCCUCGUUUCCUGGACCAAACUUUAUCAGGACGUCCCCUCUUCUCUGGGGCUCCUUCCAGCAAAUCCCAUUAAAGGCAGGGACCAGGUGAGCAGGAACAGCCUGGAUCUCAGAGAUCUGGAGACUUCUAGCUACAAAGCAUGAAGCAUAUUUACUUUGUCACCUGAAAUUAUUUUUGUUUCAAAGGCUUGAUUUAGGAAGAUCCAGAUGUUCACCUGGUCUCCAAUUGCUGAAGGAACGUGUGUUUUAAAGGCCAGCCGUCGAAGUACAUGCAUCCUGCCCUUGCCAUUCUGUGGAGGCCGCCUCUGGCCUUGACGUUAAACCAGUUACAGUUCUGUGCUGACGGCACACGUGGCCACGGCCAGGAUUUCCCGUGCCUCCACCUCACCGUUUCCUCUCUGCCUCUGAGCUGGUCCCCUUCAUUUCUCCCUUCCUCCCUCCCCACAACUUGCUCAGAUCUGUGGGUAAAUGUGCAGAAAUGUUCUGGAAAGUGGGGACAUUGAGGCUCCAGGCAGACAGGGGUUCAUAGGCCAGCUCAACCAUUUCUGGGCUCUACACCCACGGGCAGUUGACCCGAGUGUCAGAUGUCCACCUGGAAACUGAGAUCACGUGAAGAUGGUUUCGUUUGCAGCCUGGCGCAAGAUAAAGGAGUAGUAAAUGGCGUAAGGGGAUAAGCCUUUUGCCCAAAGCUCAGUGUAGUGUGAGGCACGGUGUGUCCUUAGCACUUGUGAAGGGCCUGCUUCCCCCUUGUCUCUCUCCACAGCCUUGGCCUCAGCCAUGGAUUCCUCCUGCCCUCAGAUCUCCCUCCGACGUGGACAGGCCCCGCCACUCCACGGACGCUUCUGUGACUCCCUCCUACCCAAGUAAAACCCACCCGUGCCGGUCUCUGCACAGGGUUCAGCUGGACUGAUGAACUAACCUUGGCUGACACUUUAACAGAGUGAGGUGACAUCUGAUCGAGGCCCGGCGACAAUGCUUCAGGGGUGCACAGGCUGCCACUCGCCCAGUAUUUCCCAAACAUCUGGACCAGGUGCUCACUUCUGCCAGAGCUGCCAAGAACGAUGCCCAACUCCCCAAAGGGGGACAGAUGGUAACCAGUCUCGGCCCAUGGCGGAAGGAAGAUCUUUGAAUUUGAGGUCACACCGCUUAGGUACCUGCUAGGCCAAUCUGUGUGUCCAUUAUGCCUGCCUUCCCACAGCAAGCCGAGAGCCACGUGAAGGGACAGAAGGGCAUCCCCUAUAGCCGGUGCCCAGCUGAGGGUGAGGAGAGACGCUGCACCAGGGUCCAGAGAUCAGGGCUUAGAUCUCACUCUGCUCAUGACUCAUGCACGACACAGGCAGCUCAUUACCCGCUGUUGUGGCUAAAAGGCUGUAACAGCACCGGCCCCUCCCUGCCUCAUAACGGUGACUCGGAGGAUUAAGGAGGAAACGAGCGCUAAGCUUGGUGAAUGCAGCUUUGUCCCCCAGCUGGUCCCUCUGAUUAUUCCACAAAACCGAUGGGAAAUAGCAAAGGUCAACGUUCUCUUUAUGGGAGGUUGAGGUCCUCACUGGGUGUGGUUCUGAGCUCCGUGUCUGUGUCACCCUCAUCUGGGGUGAGGCCCUGGGGUCAGACAGAAAAGGGGGGUUAGAGGGAACAUCGUCCAAGCUCUGGCCACGUGCCUGGGGCAUUUCACAUGGCAAGUCAGCUAAAGAAAUGGAUCUUGCUGGGCCUUCUGGAAACUUCUAGUAGCAAAAACCACAGACUGAACAGUACCUGUCAAGGCUGGAGCGAGCAGGAUGAAAGCUGUCUCUCCACGAUGCUGGCUUUCAGCGCUGGCCCCCCCCUUGCUCUCCACUUAUGUGAUUUGGUUUUGUGGUCUCUCUCGGUGGAAAGCCUCUAGGACGCUAGUGGCUGAAGCCAGAGCCCUAGAAGGACAGGAGGAGGGAGAGAGGCAGAUGGGGCGGCUGUGGCCCAGCUGCACGGAGCCAGCUAGGAGAGGCCACUUCCCUCCGUGCUGUGGCUUUUCCCACUCAAGAUCUGGAGGUGCCUCGGUGAAAGGUCUAGGUGGGAUUAAACCAAUUCUGCCAGCCCAAGAAUAUCGCUCGCCAUCCAGCUGUACCAGGAUUGAGUCAUCCACCACUGCCGUCACUGAUCUUCAACACACUCUGAAAGGAGUUCAGGGUGGAGAUCAGGAAUGAGGUGCUCUGGGCUCUGGGAAAACUGGCAGAACAGCCUUCGGUUAGAUAUUUUCAGGAGAAAAUUUUAUGAACACAAGCUCUUGCGUCUUCUCAUACUUGGAAAAGCGUUAAAAUCUUUAAGUAAGAUGUCUAUUCCCCGUGGCUAGCGGUAACCUUCUAGCGAGACGUGUGCUUGGUGGCAGGUACCCUUCUCCAAAAUCACAUAUAUGCUGAUCACCCCUUCCCCCCUUCCGAACAGUUUCUCAGAGCCAUCCGAGAGGCUGUGUCCUGGGCUACAGUCCUCGGUAAAUCCCCAAAUAAAACUGAAAGUCAC
Long non-coding RNA from Lagenorhynchus albirostris (white-beaked dolphin), 2793 nucleotides. RefSeq lists it as uncharacterized. Lineage: Eukaryota; Metazoa; Chordata; Mammalia; Artiodactyla; Delphinidae. The transcript has 2 exons. The record is from RefSeq and is a predicted model, not a curated record.